RNAcentral lists this ribosomal RNA (213 nucleotides) under uncultured bacterium. Its description in RNAcentral is "partial 16S ribosomal RNA". It matches the Rfam family "Bacterial small subunit ribosomal RNA", at positions 137 to 334 of the family's 1533-position model. The record is from RNAcentral.
AUGGGGACAACAUUCCGAAAGGAAUGCUAAUACCGAAUGAAGUGUGGGGGAGGCAUCUUCCCUACAUGAAAGAUGGCCUCUAUAUAUAAGCUAUCACUGAUCGAUGGGUCUGCGUCUGAUUAGCUAGUAGGUAAGGUAACGGCUUACCUAGGCGACGAUCAGUAGCCGGUCUGAGAGGAUGAACGGCCACAUUGGGACUGAGACACGGCCCAG